GUCCUGGAGGGGAGCGCCGCCGCCCCGCCUUCCGCAGCUGUCGGCCCGCAGUCCGGCGGGGACCGCGAGGGUAGCGGCCUCAGAGCGCAGGCCAAACCCCAGCCACUUCGGGCUUGGGACUGUAGGGGCCCCCUUUAAAGAAUCCCUGCCUUCUCCGCCACCAGAAGCAGAGAUAAUGCCUGUCAAUGUUCUCCUGAAAGAAUUGGUGCCAGGAUUAACUAUUUCAGGCUGCUAUCCCAAGGCUGGAAUGUUCUGAAAUGCUUAGCCUUUAACCUAUUAUGGAUGGCUUUUAGGAAAAGAUUUGGCCAAGAUGCCUCUAAAGGAAGAGGAGUCAGGGGAUGUGAGGGUAAGAACAAGAAUAUUGCCAUUACUCUGAAACAAGGAUGAAGAUCUAGCAAGGACUAAAAUGUAAAUAUUAAAUCAUGAUUUCUCUGUAGGGGGAAG
This 444-nucleotide long non-coding RNA is filed under the name Capra hircus (goat). RNAcentral's name for it is "lncRNA (ENSCHIG00000006350.1)". The record is from RNAcentral. Lineage: Eukaryota; Metazoa; Chordata; Mammalia; Artiodactyla; Bovidae.